RNAcentral lists this ribosomal RNA (478 nucleotides) under uncultured Actinomycetes bacterium. RNAcentral's name for it is "bacterial SSU rRNA". It matches the Rfam family "Bacterial small subunit ribosomal RNA", at positions 75 to 569 of the family's 1533-position model. Lineage: Bacteria; Bacillati; Actinomycetota; Actinomycetes. The record is from RNAcentral.
CACCUUCGGGUGUGAAUUAGCGGCGAACGGGUGAGGAACACGUGAGAAAUCUGCCUUCAACUCUGGGAUAACUCCGGGAAACCGGGGCUAAUACCGGAUAUGAGCCUUGAUCGCAUGAUCGGGGCUGGAAAGUUUUUCGGUUGAAGAUGAUCUCGCGGCCUAUCAGCUUGUUGGUGAGGUAAUGGCUCACCAAGGCGACGACGGGUAGCCGGCCUGAGAGGGCGACCGGCCACACUGGGACUGAGACACGGCCCAGACUCCUACGGGAGGCAGCAGUGGGGAAUAUUGGGCAAUGGAGGAAACUCUGACCCAGCGACGCCGCGUGAGGGAUGAAGGCCUUCGGGUUGUAAACCUCUUUCAGUAGGGAAGAAGCGAAAGUGACGGUACCUACAGAAGAAGCACCGGCUAACUAUGUGCCAGCAGCCGCGGUAAUACAUAGGGUGCAAGCGUUGUCCGGAAUUAUUGGGCGUAAAGAGCU